RNAcentral lists this long non-coding RNA (102 nucleotides) under Ictidomys tridecemlineatus (thirteen-lined ground squirrel). RNAcentral's name for it is "lncRNA (ENSSTOG00000031628.1)". Lineage: Eukaryota; Metazoa; Chordata; Mammalia; Rodentia; Sciuridae. The record is from RNAcentral.
AUCUUUAAGUUAUCCCAAAUAUAACCAUAUCAUGUCCUCAGUUGUUAAGUAUGUUUAUUGUAAGAAGUAGUUCUAUGUGGACUUCUUUUUUAAGAUUUAAAU